This 369-nucleotide ribosomal RNA is filed under the name Triticum aestivum (bread wheat). Its description in RNAcentral is "partial small subunit ribosomal RNA". Lineage: Eukaryota; Viridiplantae; Streptophyta; Magnoliopsida; Poales; Poaceae. The record is from RNAcentral.
AUGGCACGCACACAAAGCAGGAGGAAAUCGGUACCCCGCGAGGCUGGCGAAGUCAGCACAAGAAGUAGGCGGAGUAGAGGCAGCAGUUGCGGGCUCAAGUGCGGCAAUCGCAAUCAAUAUUCCUGUCUGGGGUUGGCGGAGUUGGUAGAAAGCACGGUUGGCGAUAAGCUGGUACUAGUUUCAUUCUUUCUAUUCCAAAAUCCAAUACCCGGAACUGGUAAAUCAAACAAUGUAGGCACACGUUGGCACAUUUCUGUAAAUAAGAGAUGUCUCAUCCGGUUGAGCUGUCGCAAUCAGUCUUUCUCUUCCUUUCUUAGUAGCAGAUCCAACAUGACUGUAUUAAACCUUAAGCAAUCAGGGUUAAGCUAG